UGAGGCCUACGGGGGGCAGCAGUCGGGAAUAUUGCGCAAUGGAGGAAACUCUGACGCAGUGACGCCGCGUAUGGGAAGAAGGUUUUCGGAUUGUAAACCAUUGUCGUUAGGGAAGAAGAAGUGACAGUACCUAAGGAGGAAGCUCCGGCUAACUAUGUGCCAGCAGCCGCGGUAAUACAUAGGGAGCGAGCGUUAUCCGGAUUUACUGGGUGUAAAGGGAGCGUAGACGGCUGUACAAGUCUGAAGUGAAAGCCCGUGGCUCAACCGCGGAACUGCUUUGGAAACUGUAAAGCUGGAGUACUGGA
This 305-nucleotide ribosomal RNA is filed under the name uncultured bacterium. Its description in RNAcentral is "bacterial SSU rRNA". It matches the Rfam family "Bacterial small subunit ribosomal RNA", at positions 333 to 653 of the family's 1533-position model. The record is from RNAcentral.